Long non-coding RNA from Vanessa atalanta (red admiral), 1164 nucleotides. RefSeq lists it as uncharacterized. The transcript is spliced from 3 exons. Lineage: Eukaryota; Metazoa; Arthropoda; Insecta; Lepidoptera; Nymphalidae. The record is from RefSeq and is a predicted model, not a curated record.
GACCGCAACGAGUGGCUCGGACGGCAGGCGCGGGUGCUCGGUCGCGGGACCGAGUGGGGUCGGGCCGGGCUCCACGCUGAGCGCGGCCCGGAGCAGCGCGAGUCGCAGCCCGAGUCCGAGGCGGAGUCCCUACCCCUUGUACACGCUGUACGCGCAGCGGGACUACAGCCGGUCGGAGAGCUACGGGCGGUCGGGCCGGAGCCGCGGACACAGCCCCGCGUACGCGUGACCACCGACCUCGCACGAUGGAGUCUAACAGGACAGACUGACCGAUCGGUGUACGGAGCUGUCCCGCGCCACUCGUAGCGUUACGUCAAUGAUCUCACCGUCGCGUGUUGGUGCGUGAGCGGCACCAUCAACACCAGCGACGACAACAACGAAUACUCGAUAUCGUCGUAGGUUAACGAACAAUCGACGGAUCAGUGCCUACAAGCUAACGGAGGAGUUUUAGCUAACUUUUCUGGAACUUUGGGUGUACAGUGGAGAGUGUAUUCAGUGGACAUAUGUUGGGGUAACUGUUUGUUGCAAGCUUUUAUUUAACCGGUUUCAACGUUGAAGCCCCGUGUGUUGUUGAGUUUAUUAUUGAGUUUAUUAGUUUAUUCAACUAAUGGACUAUCUAACACCAAAAUGAACUAAGAGCCCUAUCAAAGCGCCACUUACCGCGUGUAAAUUGGACCAUCCAUGGAGUCGCUCAAAACAUAAAACAUUUUAUCGAAACAGUUCAGUCGUCCAGUCCCUAUUAGAAAACCCGUGACAAUCGCUCCGAGAACUAUUAUAAAAGAUUUAUGAUAUCGGUAAACACGUUACCAACUCAUGGCGUGGCUCAUAGGGAUUCAUUUGUUAUAUAUAGACAGGCCCUCGCUCGGGUGUCCCUUUUCCUUCAAUAAAUAUUUUAGACCUUCUAAGGUGCCUCACCGGCUGGCUGUUAGCACUUGCUGGAUUAAGACGCGCCUGCGUUACGUUUAGUGUUAACAAAAAGAGUCUAUCUCACGUUACAAUAACUCAGAAGUUUACGUGCGUACGCGUUGGUUUUCCACUGUUAAAACAGGAAAUUAAUUAAGUAAUCAUUAAAAGUUAGUUUCAAGGUUAUUCGAAAUUCCCUUGAAUGAUGUCAGGUGUUAAGAUAUAUUUUAUUAUCUUUACAUAUUUUAUAACUAGUUGACG